AGAUUGAACGCUGGCGGCAUGCCUAACACAUGCAAGUCGAACGGGAGUAGCAAUACUCUAGUGGCGGACGGGUGAGGAAUACGUAGGAAUUUGCCCUUAAGUGGGGGAUAACCCGGGGAGACCCGGAUUAAUACCGCAUGACCUCGAAAGAGCAAAGUGGGGGAUCGCAAGACCUCACGCUUUUGGAGAAGCCUACGUCGGAUUAGCUAGUUGGUGAGGUAAUGGCUCACCAAGGCGACGAUCCGUAACUGGUCUGAGAGGAUGAUCAGUCACACCGGAACUGAGACACGGUCCGGACUCCUACGGGAGGCAGCAGUGGGGAAUAUUGGACAAUGGGCGAAAGCCUGAUCCAGCCAUGCCGCGUGUGUGAAGAAGGUCUUCGGAUUGUAAAGCACUUUAAGUUGGAGGAAGGGCAUUAACCUAAUACGUUAGUGUUUUGACGUUACCGACAGAAUAAGCACCGGCUAAACUCUGUGCCAGCAGCCGC
This 487-nucleotide ribosomal RNA is filed under the name uncultured soil bacterium. RNAcentral describes it as "bacterial SSU rRNA". It matches the Rfam family "Bacterial small subunit ribosomal RNA", at positions 26 to 518 of the family's 1533-position model. The record is from RNAcentral.